UCUGUUCCUUUUGUGUCAUGCUUUGUUUUGUUUUUAGUUAAGAAAGGAAGAAAUAGCAGUGGAGAAAUCUGAUCUGCUUUUGACAGCAUGACCAAUGCUCUUUUUCCAUCCCAUCUGGAGCAGGAUUCAGUAACAGGCAAGGGCAAGUGGAGGAGUGAUUUCAUUAACUAAGUCUUGAUUUUGAGGUUUGCAUAUCUGCAGAUCUGUUUUUCCCUCGCUAGGUCUUGGGGAACUGCCAAAAUGGGCAAAAGAAGUGAUGAUAAUGGAUUGAAGCUGCCACAGGGCAAAUCUCUGGAAGGGAAAGAUAUCAUAAAUAGUUGCCAGGAGGAUACUGUCUGUGCCUUUGCCUUUCAAGUUGUAAGGUAACAGGGAAUCUAAUUUAGAAACUGUUAUUUGCACAAGAAGGUACUGAAUAAAGAGAAGGAGGAAGGAGACAAGAGGGAAGCAUAGGAAACAAAUGUGCCUCACAGAAAUACAACCAAGAUGUCUUUCAAAAUCCCACUUCCAAAGCAGACGGUCCAAGCCUGUGGAGGCCUUGCUGACGCCAUUACUGCCAGUGUUCGGAUAUUGGUUGGUAGUUCUCUGCCUUUUAUUCUCUCAGCCUGGUCUCAAGGAACACACUGUUCUCUUUUGCAACCUUUAGUAACAUGAUCUUAUGAAAUCCUUAGCUAUGUAUUUUUUUCUUUAUUUCUAGUUCAAUUAUAUCAGGACUGUUAGUUCUUAAAUUGGAAAACAGAGAAUCAAAAAACAAAAACAAAAAACGUUUCUCAAAAUGUCCUAUGGUACAGUCUUAAUCAAGUCACUCAAAUGUAAAAUGUGUCUAAAUCUCCUGCCUCCCAAGGCUCUUGUUAAGUUUCAAUUAAGAUGAUAAAUAGCGCACAUACGUAAAAGCUGUUGGAUAUACGUUAGCUCUUUUCUCUUCCUCUCUCCUAAUAAGAGAUCCCUAGAAUUUAUAGCAGAAAAUCCAGAUCAGUAAUGAGCAAUAUAUAGGCAUAUGUCCAUAAACUUAAGCUUCCUCAGGGAAAUUAUUCCAAUUAAGAUAAAAAUCAGUAUAAUAUCACAAUGCCUCAUUGGGGUAUUUCUGAGCAUCAGAAUCCCUUUAAGAAAAUAUUCCAAUGGAGAAGUAUUUUAAAUACACCAUGGUGUUAUGGAUACAGCUGGUGCUAGGCAACGUGAAGCAUGUAAGCAGUGAAGAUCUAUUUCACAGCUUCUUUCCUUAGCAGGAGAAGGGAUGACAUUUUGUCGGCCUCGCCUCCCUGGAGAUUAAAAACCAAGCACCAGAGGAAGGCCAGGCAGCUGACAAAUAGGCUCUUCCCCUGCUGAGGAAAGGAAAACACAAGGCCCAUGGAAAGCUUUCCUCUUCACAAGCUGGAUGUAAACGAUCCUGCAGAAGGCUCUGAAAUCUUAGAGUUGAUGGAAAGGAGCAGAAGGCCACCUGCUAAACACCCUCUUAGAACUAUUAUGGUUUCAAAUGAACAUCGUGACCAACCUGUAGAUGGAGAAGGAAGCCACUGAUCGAAUCAGGGAUGCCACAGCCCCCACUUUGGCAGCUUCCACUGACCCCUGGACUCGGUACUGCACUGUCUUCGAGUAGUUGACAUAAGGUUGAUUAUACACAACAAUCUUCCCUCUUGCUUCUGGGGCCCUUCUCUGCAGUUCCUUGAACGAGGUCACCACGAGAACUUCUGCUGUAAUGCCUAGAAAAAACAUCAUACAGGAUUAACUUAUGGUUUCCAAUCAGCCCUGUUGAAUUGGCACACAAAAGGUCAUACAGGCUCUACCUGCUACAUCUGGCAAACUGGUUUGAGAAGAUCAAAGUUUUAGAGCCAUUUGCCAUGGAAGAAAGACUGCAGAGGUUAGCUAGUCUCCCAAGAGAGAGAAAAGGCAUUC
Leopardus geoffroyi (Geoffroy's cat) is the source of this 1890-nucleotide long non-coding RNA. RefSeq lists it as uncharacterized. The transcript is spliced from 3 exons. NCBI's taxonomy places the organism in Eukaryota, Metazoa, Chordata, Mammalia, Carnivora, Felidae. The record is from RefSeq and is a predicted model, not a curated record.